Molecule: ribosomal RNA, 249 nt
Filed under: uncultured bacterium
Lineage: Bacteria
Description: partial 16S ribosomal RNA
Rfam family: Bacterial small subunit ribosomal RNA
Source: RNAcentral
UACGAGGGGUGCAAGCGUUGCUCGGAAUUAUUGGGCGUAAAGGGUAGGUAGGUGGUCUCGUUUGUCUGGGGUGAAAGCCUUGAGCUUAACUCAAGAAGUGCCCUAGAAACGGCGAGACUAGAGUUCUGGAGAGGGUCGUGGAAUUCCCGGUGUAGCGGUGAAAUGCGUAGAGAUCGGGAGGAACACCAGAGGCGAAGGCGGCGACCUGGACAGAUACUGACACUCAACUACGAAAGCGUGGGGAGCAAA